Molecule: ribosomal RNA, 860 nt
Filed under: uncultured Caulobacter sp.
Lineage: Bacteria; Pseudomonadati; Pseudomonadota; Alphaproteobacteria; Caulobacterales; Caulobacteraceae
Description: bacterial SSU rRNA
Rfam family: Bacterial small subunit ribosomal RNA
Source: RNAcentral
AGAGUUUGAUCGUGGCUCAGAGCGAACGCUGGCGGCAGGCCUAACACAUGCAAGUCGAACGAUCCUUCGGGAUAGUGGCGGACGGGUGAGUAACACGUGGGAACGUGCCCUUUGGUUCGGGAUAACUCAGGGAAACUUGAGCUAAUACCGGAUGAGCCCUUCGGGGGAAAGAUUUAUCGUCAUUGGAGCGGCCCGCGUUGGAUUAGCUAGUUGGUGGGGUAAAGGCCCACCAAGGCUACGAUCCAUAGCUGGUCUGAGAGGAUGAUCAGCCACACUGGGACUGAGACACGGCCCAGACUCCUACGGGAGGCAGCAGUGGGGAAUCUUGCGCAAUGGGCGAAAGCCUGACGCAGCCAUGCCGCGUGAAUGAUGAAGGUCUUAGGAUUGUAAAAUUCUUUCACCGGGGACGAUAAUGACGGUACCCGGAGAAGAAGCCCCGGCUAACUUCGUGCCAGCAGCCGCGGUAAUACGAAGGGGGCUAGCGUUGCUCGGAAUUACUGGGCGUAAAGGGAGCGUAGGCGGACUGUUUAGUCAGAGGUGAAAGCCCAGGGCUCAACCUUGGAAUUGCCUUUGAUACUGGCAGUCUUGAGUACGGAAGAGGUAUGUGGAACUCCGAGUGUAGAGGUGAAAUUCGUAGAUAUUCGGAAGAACACCAGUGGCGAAGGCGACAUACUGGUCCGUUACUGACGCUGAGGCUCGAAAGCGUGGGGAGCAAACAGGAUUAGAUACCCUGGUAGUCCACGCCGUAAACGAUGAGUGCUAGUUGUCGGCAUGCAUGCAUGUCGGUGACGCAGCUAACGCAUUAAGCACUCCGCCUGGGGAGUACGGUCGCAAGAUUAAAACUUAAACGAAUUGACGGA